CCCUAAACCCUAAACUCUAAAU
RNAcentral lists this small nuclear RNA (22 nucleotides) under Arabidopsis thaliana (thale cress). Its description in RNAcentral is "snRNA_12030". Lineage: Eukaryota; Viridiplantae; Streptophyta; Magnoliopsida; Brassicales; Brassicaceae. The record is from RNAcentral.